AAGCAAGAAAACAUUGAAAUACAAGGAAUGCUGCGAACACUUGGCUGCAGAAAAGAAGACAGACCGGAACUCACAGACCACUUCAAGACUGGGUUUCCAUUCUGCGGUCGACAAAUGCUCCAGUGUGCAAGCUUUUCUUCAGUUCCCGCACCUGCAGAGACGUGGCCCAAGUGACCUAGUAUUUCAGAGGGAGAAGGAGAAUGUGGCAGAGAGAGAAAACUGCUCUUCAAAAGGAAGCCGUCGUUAAGCUAAGAUGCACAAAGAGCAAUUGUGAAUUUGUGUUUAGGGACCUAGAAUUCUCACCACUACCCUGAUGGAAUAUAAAGGUGAGAGGUAUUUUACUGAUGUGCUUUUCCUUUAAAAUAAAUUGCAGUGUCUAAUGCUAAUGUAAAAACAUGAUACACAUUUUCAACUCCAUUUAGAUUUUUUGUUACUGACAAAAAUAGAAAACUCACUGAUGCCCUAAAAUAUCUCCCUGUGGUUCAGGCAAUAUCUUCUAGGAUAAGUUUUUCAUUAUGAAUUUCAAACUCUUGAAAGCAUUAAAGACAAAGGCCCCUCUAUUCCAAUGGGAAUGUAGAAAAUAUG
Long non-coding RNA from Bos taurus (domestic cattle), 585 nucleotides. NCBI's taxonomy places the organism in Eukaryota, Metazoa, Chordata, Mammalia, Artiodactyla, Bovidae. The record is from Ensembl.